Molecule: ribosomal RNA, 301 nt
Filed under: uncultured bacterium
Lineage: Bacteria
Description: partial 16S ribosomal RNA
Rfam family: Bacterial small subunit ribosomal RNA
Source: RNAcentral
CAGCCGCCACGGUAAUACGAAGGGGGCUAGCGUUGCUCGGAAUUACUGGGCGUAAAGGGAGCGUAGGCGGAUCGUUAAGUUGGGGGUGAAAGCCCGGGGCUCAACCUCGGAAUUGCCUUCAAUACUGGCGAUCUUGAGUAUGGAAGAGGUAUGUGGAACUCCGAGUGUAGAGGUGAAAUUCGUAGAUAUUCGGAAGAACACCAGUGGCGAAGGCGACAUACUGGUCCAUUACUGACGCUGAGGCUCGAAAGCGUGGGGAGCAAACAGGAUUAGAUACCCCCGUAGUCCCUGUCUCUUAUAC